GGUAAGAUGGCCGAGGAAGGCGGCAGGUUGUAGCCCUGCUUACAGAGGUUUAAGCCCUCUUCUUAUCA
RNAcentral lists this transfer RNA (68 nucleotides) under Rheobates palmatus (palm rocket frog). Its description in RNAcentral is "tRNA-Tyr". It matches the Rfam family "tRNA". Rfam says of the family: Transfer RNA (tRNA) molecules are approximately 80 nucleotides in length. Their secondary structure includes four short double-helical elements and three loops (D, anti-codon, and T loops). The record is from RNAcentral. Lineage: Eukaryota; Metazoa; Chordata; Amphibia; Anura; Aromobatidae.